Non-coding RNA from Astyanax mexicanus (Mexican tetra), 366 nucleotides. NCBI's taxonomy places the organism in Eukaryota, Metazoa, Chordata, Actinopteri, Characiformes, Acestrorhamphidae. The record is from the annotation of a RefSeq genome assembly.
AUGACUGGAAAGAUGAUCAUCUCUGCUGUGUACUACUGUGCUUCUGGAAGAACAAACUGUGUUAAAUUUGAACAGCCGCCAUCUCUUUUUGCCAAAGAACAUGACAGUGUAACAAUCAAGUGCAGCCACGAUGACAAUAGCUUGUUAUAUAUGCUGUGGUAUCAGCGAAAGAGUGACAGUACAAAUAUGAACUUUAUUGGCUACCGCUACAUCUCAGGUGAUGCUGUAAAAGAAGAGGGUUUUAAGGAACGAUUUGAUCUGAAGAGAGAUGGAGAUGUAAAAGGAGAUCUGAUCAUCUCUAAACUCGUCUCGUCUGAUUCUGCUGUUUAUUACUGUGCAGCAAGAGAACACAGUGCUGCAGAUUAA